AGGACGAACGCUGGCGGCGCGCUUAAUACAUGCAAGUCGAGCGAGAACCGGACCUUCGGGUCCGGGGAAAGCGGCGAACGGGUGAGUAACACGUGGGUAAUCUGCCCUCGGUACUGGGAUAGCCCGGGGAAACCCGGAUUAAUACCGGAUAGCCUUUCGAGCUCUCGGGCUCGUUAGAAAAUGGUGGCUUCGGCUUCCGACUGAGGAUGAGCCCGCGGCGGAUUAGCUUGUUGGUGAGGUAAUGGCUCACCAAGGCCCCGAUCCGUAGCUGGUCUGAGAGGACGAUCAGCCACACUGGGACUGAGACACGGCCCAGACUCCUACGGGAGCAGCAGUAGGGAUCUUGCGCAAUGGGCGAAAGCCUGACGCAG
RNAcentral lists this ribosomal RNA (371 nucleotides) under uncultured soil bacterium. RNAcentral describes it as "bacterial SSU rRNA". It matches the Rfam family "Bacterial small subunit ribosomal RNA", at positions 26 to 391 of the family's 1533-position model. The record is from RNAcentral.